UUUAAACAUAGCCAUAAGUUUUUAGUGCCCAAUUUGAAUCAUCCAUUUUAUUUGAAAUUUUUUAUGAUUAAUAAUAAUAUUAUUAUUAGAUGAUAAAAUAUUAAUAAUAUGCGUGACUUAUGUUUUAUUUUUUUAAAAAAAAAAUUUAAAUAAGACGGACGAUUAAAAUUGGACACGAAAACUCAUGGCUACGUUUAAA
Non-coding RNA from Oryza glaberrima (African rice), 199 nucleotides. The record is from Rfam. Lineage: Eukaryota; Viridiplantae; Streptophyta; Magnoliopsida; Poales; Poaceae.